CCUGUUUCUAGAAAAGAUCAGGAUCGAUGGCUGCUGAUGGGGCUAAUUGGAACAGCAGUGAGGUUGCUGGGUUUUUGAUUCAGCAGAUAAUUAUGUCUCUCAUCAAACUGAAAUGGAACCUGGUGGAAAAUUACCUGCAGAUGAGCAAGAGGAAGUCAGAGUGACAUUUUCUGUGUUAGUUUAUUAGAAAAUGCACAGUGUCAAGUUUUAACUGCCUGAAGGUGCUGCCUGUGGAGGGAUUUGCGUGGAAGGAUCCCAGAGGAGAUCGUCCUGGAGAGAACCGGGGUACAAGAGGACCACUCACUCAUCCAUGAUGAGGAACCAUCCAUUCCAAUGAGCAAAUCAAGCAAAAUCAUGGAUUUACACUGGACAACAACUUUCUAUGAUGACAUGA
Molecule: non-coding RNA, 394 nt
Organism: Cyanistes caeruleus (blue tit)
Lineage: Eukaryota; Metazoa; Chordata; Aves; Passeriformes; Paridae
Source: RefSeq, a predicted model, not a curated record